This 2139-nucleotide ribosomal RNA is filed under the name Escherichia coli. RNAcentral describes it as "bacterial LSU rRNA". It matches the Rfam family "Bacterial large subunit ribosomal RNA", at positions 1 to 2157 of the family's 2925-position model. Lineage: Bacteria; Pseudomonadati; Pseudomonadota; Gammaproteobacteria; Enterobacterales; Enterobacteriaceae. The record is from RNAcentral.
GGGUUGUGAGGUUAAGCGACUAAGCGUACACGGUGGAUGCCCUGGCAGUCAGAGGCGAUGAAGGACGUGCUAAUCUGCGAUAAGCGUCGGUAAGGUGAUAUGAACCGUUAUAACCGGCGAUUUCCGAAUGGGGAAACCCAGUGUGUUUCGACACACUAUCAUUAACUGAAUCCAUAGGUUAAUGAGGCGAACCGGGGGAACUGAAACAUCUAAGUACCCCGAGGAAAAGAAAUCAACCGAGAUUCCCCCAGUAGCGGCGAGCGAACGGGGAGGAGCCCAGAGCCUGAAUCAGUGUGUGUGUUAGUGGAAGCGUCUGGAAAGGCGCGCGAUACAGGGUGACAGCCCCGUACACAAAAAUGCACAUGCUGUGAGCUCGAUGAGUAGGGCGGGACACGUGGUAUCCUGUCUGAAUAUGGGGGGACCAUCCUCCAAGGCUAAAUACUCCUGACUGACCGAUAGUGAACCAGUACCGUGAGGGAAAGGCGAAAAGAACCCCGGCGAGGGGAGUGAAAAAGAACCUGAAACCGUGUACGUACAAGCAGUGGGAGCCUCUUUUAUGGGGUGACUGCGUACCUUUUGUAUAAUGGGUCAGCGACUUAUAUUCUGUAGCAAGGUUAACCGAAUAGGGGAGCCGAAGGGAAACCGAGUCUUAACUGGGCGUUAAGUUGCAGGGUAUAGACCCGAAACCCGGUGAUCUAGCCAUGGGCAGGUUGAAGGUUGGGUAACACUAACUGGAGGACCGAACCGACUAAUGUUGAAAAAUUAGCGGAUGACUUGUGGCUGGGGGUGAAAGGCCAAUCAAACCGGGAGAUAGCUGGUUCUCCCCGAAAGCUAUUUAGGUAGCGCCUCGUGAAUUCAUCUCCGGGGGUAGAGCACUGUUUCGGCAAGGGGGUCAUCCCGACUUACCAACCCGAUGCAAACUGCGAAUACCGGAGAAUGUUAUCACGGGAGACACACGGCGGGUGCUAACGUCCGUCGUGAAGAGGGAAACAACCCAGACCGCCAGCUAAGGUCCCAAAGUCAUGGUUAAGUGGGAAACGAUGUGGGAAGGCCCAGACAGCCAGGAUGUUGGCUUAGAAGCAGCCAUCAUUUAAAGAAAGCGUAAUAGCUCACUGGUCGAGUCGGCCUGCGCGGAAGAUGUAACGGGGCUAAACCAUGCACCGAAGCUGCGGCAGCGACACUAUGUGUUGUUGGGUAGGGGAGCGUUCUGUAAGCCUGUGAAGGUGUGCUGUGAGGCAUGCUGGAGGUAUCAGAAGUGCGAAUGCUGACAUAAGUAACGAUAAAGCGGGUGAAAAGCCCGCUCGCCGGAAGACCAAGGGUUCCUGUCCAACGUUAAUCGGGGCAGGGUGAGUCGACCCCUAAGGCGAGGCCGAAAGGCGUAGUCGAUGGGAAACAGGUUAAUAUUCCUGUACUUGGUGUUACUGCGAAGGGGGGACGGAGAAGGCUAUGUUGGCCGGGCGACGGUUGUCCCGGUUUAAGCGUGUAGGCUGGUUUUCCAGGCAAAUCCGGAAAAUCAAGGCUGAGGCGUGAUGACGAGGCACUACGGUGCUGAAGCAACAAAUGCCCUGCUUCCAGGAAAAGCCUCUAAGCAUCAGGUAACAUCAAAUCGUACCCCAAACCGACACAGGUGGUCAGGUAGAGAAUACCAAGGCGCUUGAGAGAACUCGGGUGAAGGAACUAGGCAAAAUGGUGCCGUAACUUCGGGAGAAGGCACGCUGAUAUGUAGGUGAAGUCCCUCGCGGAUGGAGCUGAAAUCAGUCGAAGAUACCAGCUGGCUGCAACUGUUUAUUAAAAACACAGCACUGUGCAAACACGAAAGUGGACGUAUACGGUGUGACGCCUGCCCGGUGCCGGAAGGUUAAUUGAUGGGGUCAGCGCAAGCGAAGCUCUUGAUCGAAGCCCCGGUAAACGGCGGCCGUAACUAUAACGGUCCUAAGGUAGCGAAAUUCCUUGUCGGGUAAGUUCCGACCUGCACGAAUGGCGUAAUGAUGGCCAGGCUGUCUCCACCCGAGACUCAGUGAAAUUGAACUCGCUGUGAAGAUGCAGUGUACCCGCGGCAAGACGGAAAGACCCCGUGAACCUUUACUAUAGCUUGACACUGAACAUUGAGCCUUGAUGUGUAGGAUAGGUGGGAGGCUU